RNAcentral lists this ribosomal RNA (330 nucleotides) under uncultured bacterium. RNAcentral's name for it is "bacterial SSU rRNA". It matches the Rfam family "Bacterial small subunit ribosomal RNA", at positions 29 to 339 of the family's 1533-position model. The record is from RNAcentral.
AGCGAACGCUGGCGGCGUGCUUAACACAUGCAAGUCGAGGGAGAACGGCGGGCUUCGGCCUUCCUAGUAAACCGGCGCACGGGUGAGUAACACGUAGGUAACCUACCUUCGAGACCGGGAUAACCUAUCGAAAGAUGGGCUAAUACCGGAUAUGACCACAGGAGUCUCGGCUCCUGCGGUGAAAGAUGGCCUCUGCUUGCAAGCUAUCACUCGAGGAUGGGCCUGCGCGCCAUUAGCUAGUUGGUGAGGUAACGGCUCACCAAGGCUACGAUGGCUAGUUGGUCUGAGAGGAUGACCAGCACACUGGGACUGAGACACGGCCCAGACUCC